This 448-nucleotide ribosomal RNA is filed under the name uncultured bacterium. RNAcentral describes it as "bacterial SSU rRNA". It matches the Rfam family "Bacterial small subunit ribosomal RNA", at positions 329 to 792 of the family's 1533-position model. The record is from RNAcentral.
UGCCAGACUCCUACGGGAGGCAGCAGUGGGGAAUAUUGGGCAAUGGGCGCAAGCCUGACCCAGCAACGCCGCGUGAAGGAAGAAGGCUUUCGGGUUGUAAACUUCUUUUGACAGGGAAGAGCAGAAGACGGUACCUGUCGAAUAAGCCACGGCUAACUACGUGCCAGCAGCCGCGGUAAUACGUAGGUGGCAGGCGUUGUCCGGAUUUACUGGGUGUAAAGGGCGUGUAGCCGGGCUGACAAGUCAGAUGUGAAAUCCGGGGGCUCAACCCCCGAACUGCAUUUGAAACUGUUUUUCUUGAGUACCGGAGAGGUCAUCGGAAUUCCUUGUGUAGCGGUGAAAUGCGUAGAUAUAAGGAAGAACACCAGUGGCGAAAGCGGAUGACUGGACGGCAACUGACGGUGAGGCGCGAAAGCGUGGGGAGCAAACAGGAUUAGAUACCCGCGUA